UCCAGCAUAGCUUGGUUGGUAGACUAUUAGACUUUUAAUCUGAGAGUCUAGUGUUUAAAUCCCUGUUUGGGCA
Molecule: non-coding RNA, 73 nt
Organism: Cnephaeus nilssonii (northern bat)
Lineage: Eukaryota; Metazoa; Chordata; Mammalia; Chiroptera; Vespertilionidae
Source: the annotation of a GenBank genome assembly